GAGGAUAUAGUUCAGUGGUAGAGCGCAUGCUUAGCAUGCACGAGGUCCUGGGUUCAGUCCCCAGUACCUUCA
RNAcentral lists this transfer RNA (72 nucleotides) under Camelus bactrianus (Bactrian camel). It matches the Rfam family "tRNA". From Rfam's summary of the family: Transfer RNA (tRNA) molecules are approximately 80 nucleotides in length. Their secondary structure includes four short double-helical elements and three loops (D, anti-codon, and T loops). Lineage: Eukaryota; Metazoa; Chordata; Mammalia; Artiodactyla; Camelidae. RNAcentral also lists the same sequence under 2 other names. The record is from Rfam by way of RNAcentral.